AGAUGUAACAUCCUAAAUCAUCAUGGGGAUUUCCGUACAGUUUGUAUGUGCUGGCUCUGCUCAAAUUAAGGAUCUUCAGAGAUUGCAAAAGAAAACACGAGUUCGUCAACUACAAGACUGUGAAGAAGUUACUUACGGAAAGAAUGAGG
Long non-coding RNA from Eurytemora carolleeae, 149 nucleotides. RefSeq lists it as uncharacterized. The record is from RefSeq and is a predicted model, not a curated record. The transcript is spliced from 3 exons. NCBI's taxonomy places the organism in Eukaryota, Metazoa, Arthropoda, Copepoda, Calanoida, Temoridae.